CACUUUACAUUUGGGGUCACAAAGGAGUAAUUAAUUUUAAGAUAAUGAUAAAUUAAUGAGGGACUACUGCUCAAAAUGAUGCAACACUUUUCUUAAUGAGAGACAAAAGGGUACCUAAUGAAGAGGUAAUGAUGAAAUAAUGAGGGGCAGCUCAGUAACUACCUGUACUCACUAUUGUGUAUCUCUGCAUGCAGGGCGAACUUAAAGUAAGUCCAGCAGGGUCACUUAUUGUCCCAAAAAGUAAUCUCUGUAUUAUAGGACACUUUGUGACCAGCACAGUGAAGUUUCAGGAGAGCAACUUCAGCAAAUUUCAGCACAAACUUUUUUUCCUUAUAUCUGUUCUGUUGUGCUUUAUCCAGAAAUCCAUGUUUUCCCACAACACCAAGAUAGUUGUGUGGUUUAUAUUGUGAUAAAAUACUUCUGUCCUUACACUGUGAAUGUAAAAGCCAGACUAGGCAAAAGAACUGAAAAUUAGAGAAGUUCACUAAAUAGAUAUAUUCCAUUCAACCAUUUUUGCAAGUCUUUGUUUCUCAUUUAUCAGAUGUUUUAGGUUUUCUGCGCAAAUUAAACGCGAGCUGGGUGAAUAUAAAUGCACUAACUGAUUAAUUGUUUGUCAGUUCUGGUGUUAUGCUACCUUUGCAGUGAAAAAAAAGGCUUAAUAAAAUGCAAUUUUAGAGACAUAAUGUACCAGGAAACUCAGACUAUUAUUUCGAGGGUAAAAUUCUGAAGUAUUUCAGGCGGUAAAAUAUAAUGAUGAAUCAGCACAAGAUACUUUUUUAGUAUCUUAAUUCACCUAACAUUAAGGCUGGGCGAUAAACCGGAAAUUUACCUAUAUCAAAAUUUACAACAAUAACCAAUGUCAUAUUGGCCGUAACAGUAAAUUCGAUGUAAAAAAAAUAAAUAAAUAAAAGUUAGUUUCAGAUGUGUGUAGGUAGGUUAUGGUCUCAUGUCCCUUUAAGACGCUGUCCUACAUCGGAGAUGUGACUCCACCCCAUCCAGUCCAUAACAAAGAGGGAAAGACAGGUGAGGAGAUGGAGGACGGUUCAAAAGUUGUUCUGACUGAAGUAGAGAAAGUUAAAGUGGGAGGGGGUGAGCAUCGUCCAUUUAUCGUUAGAGGUGAACUGCUCAAUAUGUCGUGAUAUUGAUUUGAAGUCAUAUCACCCAGCCCUACCUAACAUACCAUUGGAAAGUAGAGAUUUAUGGGUCUUCAGUGGCUAUAAUUCUUUCAUCUCAAGACUUGUAAUCAUGUAACAAAACUUAUCACCUGCACAUGCAAGUCUGGGACAUCUCAAACAGCUCUAACAAUGAAGAAAUCUAGAGAUUGUCCUUGUCUUGCCGGGUGAAACACAAUCUUUGUGUACCACAUGUUAUGCUGUCUAGUUUGAAUACACUCUUCUCUAACAAGAAUCACUGAUGCAAUACAUCAGUCAGCUAAACAGCCAGAUUCACACAGACGGUGGAUUCCAGUCCAUUUCUACAGCAGCUGGAUCUCAUUGGUUCAUUCAUCAAAGCCUGCUUCCUGUCCUCCAUCUCCCACCGGAACCAAUUUGUUCAUAACCCCUUGAAUUCUGGCACCCUCGCAUCUAGUGUGGAGACAAGGACUGCUUCCUCCAUAAUUAGUCUGUACCAGACAUUACCGUCACAGUGACAAAAACAGGACCUUAUCCAGUAUGGUCUGUAAUUCUGGUCUGCACCGAGGAAGGCACAGAGGGAGACGUUAGGCACAUGAAGGGAGGUAAAGAGAAAUGAUAAGGUAUGAGUAAAAAGCCAGUGAAAAGAUUAAAAAUUUGUUAUAAUUAGGUUGUGCAGUUAGGGACCAAGGAGAAUGACUGAGAUGGAGAAAGAAGAAAAGGAGAUGAGGAUGGCUUGGAUUUAAACAGAAUAGGAAAACAUGGAAAAAAAAUAUCAUGAAUUGAGUGAGCAAACAAAGAAUGGACCAGUAUCAGAGAGGUACAGACAACAAAGAAGCAUAUCUCUAAAAAAGAUAUGUCCAGGGUACAAACUUGAAGGUGAACAAGUUUGAUUUCUUAAAAUUAUGUGAAAGAAGAACAUGAAGACAUUCAGGGAAACGUGUUCCACUCACCAAAGAGGAAAGUGUGUGAAUGAGCGAAUACUUCAAAAAGGUAAAUGAGGUUACAGUAAGAAAGACAGACGUUGGUGGAUUAUGAAGGCGCUUAGGUAUUUAAGAGGCAGGAGCCGUUUUCUUUUCAUCUCCGACAAGCUGAGUUUAACGUCUUAAUCAAGAUGUCUACUUGAAGAAAUAAUUAUACUUGUACAUGCACAGCACCAUACUGGUUCUGAAACAUAUAAUACCUCAUUCCUUCGGUAGAUUAUCAUUCAAUAAUCGCUACUAUACACUGACUGACAUCUGACCCAGUUCUUUAAAAGUGUGCAAGUGUGAACAAAGAGCAGAAGUGAAGUUUUUUAACACAAGUGUUGGUGAAGAGCAUAUUCUAACAGACAACAGCACCAUGGACUUUUUCCAGACUACAUUCAUUAGACUAAAACGGCAAAAUUCAUGGAAAAAUACACAUCUGCAGGGCGCCACUGGCCUAGCAAUUUAGGGGCGCCUCUCAUGUUCGGAGGUUGUGAUCUUCAGGCAGCAGGCUCGGGUUUGAUCUCAGCUUGUCAACCCCCUCUCUCUCCUAGAUCUUAGUUUCUGUCCUCUCCAAACAAAUGUAAAAAGCCAGAGAAAAUUAAGAAAUAAGAAUAUGCAUCCUCUAGAAAAAGAAAUGUUGAAAAAUAAUUUCAUGUCAUAGUGCUUGAGCAAACAUAUUGUUCAUAUUUUUCACAUUAGCAUUUCCCACUUAUUGUAACUAUAACGAGCAGUUAUUGUCAUGUGGGAGUCUGUGGCAUGUGAAGUUUAUUCCUCCCAGGCAAGACAAGGUCUUUGCAGACUGAAGUGCAACAUGUCCUUCUCAACUCACUUUAAAUAACUAGAUAAUUUUUUUCUUCCCUUCUUGUCAUUUUAGUUCUAAAAGUGUUUUUUUCUUAACGUCUUUCACCGCUGUCUGAAAUACCGGUUAACUACUUCUUUGGCUAAUUAGCUUCCAUUCACACGUCCUGUCAUCAGGGUCACUAAAGGGCCAUUGAAAUAGUAAGAGAGUGAGUCAUAUUCUCAAGUAGAGCUAUCGUUUUCUCCUUUAGGUUAUCCAUACUUGACACAGGCAUAUUGAUAAGUAUAUCACACUUGUCAGGAUACUGGUAUACUAUUGAUAUUUCAUGCAACCUUGAAAGAAAUAUGCUUUGUUUAUGUCUCACUCAAGACACGAUAAUGAAUUUCAGUCUAUUUCAACCUCUUCAAAGGAGCUUCAACACAAUAAAAAUAGGAAAGCAGGAGUGAAAUGAAAACUCAGAUCACAGAGAUUCAGUUAAAAACUACAUGUACCAAGUUCUGGGCACACAGUUGUUUAUAAAAUCAGCUUUCUCUGCCCACAGGCAUAGACUUGACAUGAGUCUAUGUAUCACCAGCUUGUUUUAGGGGGAGAGAGGAAUCGUAGCUUACAUGUGAGAUCCUUACAUUUUGCAAUACUGUGAUAUAAUACCAUCACCACAAAAAGCAGGGAAAAAAAUUUAAAAACUGAAAAGAAAUUCUACUUAUAUCGCCCACUACCAGGUCCCACUAACGACAUCUGCCAUGGCAGCAGUAAUGUAGCAUCACAAAUACUGGGAGGAGGUAAAGAAACAUUGUCUGUCUUUGUACUGCAACUGCUCCGGACUCAAACAAAGCUUUUUAGUAAGAACUGAUCACAAAGAGCUUGCAUGUAGCUCUUUAAGACUAUAACAAGCAGGGUAAGCAGCUGUUUAACCUAAAGAGUUUGUUCUUGCAUUUUUGAAGACUGCAGGAAACCACAGUAUCAAAGAAGUACUGUGGAGCACAGUUGCCAUAGUGUCAACAUAAAUAUUACAUUAGGGCAGUUAAGAUUUGCAAAAGCAUUUUGGAAAGAUACAGUGACUUAGAAUGCAACUUUGUUUGUGCAGAGAAAAACUCCAAAGUUCAAGUCAGGGGAAGCUGUUUUAACUGCCCGUCCUUCACAAUUACAUGAUGUUUUUAUUUCAGGAACAGGAGAAACAACAUCAUGUCCAAAUCACGACUGGUUUGACUUAACUUGCAGAAACAAAGGAAGGAAAGACAAGCAGGUGGAUCAUCACGUACACAACAUGUCAGAGAAAGAAAGACAAACACUUUCAGAGAGACUUGACAUCCUGAGCUCCGGGUAGAGCGAUUGAGGACAGCGUCUGGUGUAAAAAUAAGCUGUGUUCUCCAGCAGGUGUGGAGCUCUGAGGUAAGAUCUCGCCCUCUAUGAUUGCCACCUGCACACAAAGAAGUACCACUUCCAUGUACAAUGACAGUAAUGAUAGGAUAGCGGCUACAGCCUGUACCCUCUUAUUAAAACCUGCACGCUCUCUUUGUCACACGCUUAAGGUAAGGUACAAUGAGGACCACAUACACAAACUGCAAAUACACAUAUCUGAGCACAGCAACACUCUAUAAGCACGAGCAAAAUGCAAGCUGUAGCCUCAUUACCCUUCUCUAAACAUCAGUGGAAUAAAACUCUAAUAUGGAAAGAGGGUGGAAAAGGUUAAUAACCAGCCUUAUUAAUUUAGGAUUAAAUAGGCUGUAAUGAAAUCACAGAGCUGUGCUCAAUAAACUGUUCAGUUUCGCACUCCAAAGAAGUACCCACCAUCGGCUGCUGAUCUAACCCUGUCACCGCUGUCGCAUCUCUUUCAGUGGGGCUUUUAUUUUGUUAUUUAUUCGGUUAUUUGGGGGAGAAAUUAAAGGGUAAUUGAAAGAGCAGAAGUCAUGUGACCUGGAGGCUCUUAGGCCAUUGGUUGAUGAAGUUAUCUAAUUCUAGCUUUAGGGACUUCAGCCACAAAGCAUGAUGACUCACAAUGUGUAGGAUAUAAAACAGCAAAUGAAAAGUUUUGUGGAAAGGUUUUUAAAUGAGGCACUUGGAGACAAGUUGCGUCAGUCAACAUCCGAGAGUUUAUUUUCCAUGUCUCUCGUUUCUGUAUGUCAAUCAGGGUGACUGAGUUUGAUUGCUGGAAGUCUCUUAUCGUGAAUCCCAUUUGGUGGAAAAUGCCACCGAGACAGUUUGAAGAUCAGUGUUCGAUGGAUAUUUGCACAACAUCAUUAACAUCUCAUUUCGUCCAACAACAACAGCAUGAGUGGGACCCAAAUGUUAAUGAGUUGUGAUUGGACCUUUUACCUUGACUCGUACACGACCAAAGCGUGGAAGAAGGACCCCGGCAAAUGAAAUGUCCUUGUUAUUACAGCAAUGACUCAGCUACUUAUGGCCAGUUAGUUCUCAUUUCAAUAAAAUUAAAGUAAGUCUUUUUCUUACCAUUAAAUCUGUUCGAAAUGAUUUAAAACUCAUGAUAUUUUAAUGUGCAAUAAAUCCAAUUUUAGUAGUGAAUGGUUCACAGGGUUGGGGCCUAAUGAGGGUAAAGAAGAUGGAGGGUGAUACAGCCCAAGCUCAAGAUAGUUGAUCAUCAAUGAGUCAGCAUCAGCACGAGGAAAACCAGGGAGUUAACAAAUCUUACUACUUUUUCAAAUUAAAUAUCUCCUUCAUUUCACAGCGUAAUGUUUGUUCUCUGAAGCAUUCAUGUUUUAAAAUCAUCUUCAUUUUAUCUGAAUUUCAAAAAUUACCGAAUGUGGAGGUACAGGGUUCCUAAUGGGCUACUAUGAUGAUGAAAAUGAAACUAACUUGAAGAACUAAAGCUGGUUGUAUGUAUAGUUACAAAACUUCAACCACAUUUACUUUAUUUAUUUGGCAUUGACGGAGUUGCACACUUAUAUACAUGUUGAAGAAGAGCAGCAAGGACUGAAAAGAAAAGGCUAGGCAGUCCGCAAAUAGGCGGAUCAUGUUUUACUUGGGAUCUUGGAUUUGUUGGUUUUCUAGGUGGUCCCUUAAAGGGAUAUUCCGGCGUAAAAUUAAGUUAGGGUCAAACACACUGUAACACAGAGUUAGACAACCUCUCAAGAGAUUGAAUGUUGCUGACCGCUUGCUUCUCUCAUUAUACCGACUUUAGUAACAACCACACAAUAACAAUUCAAAGCAGUCUAAGGAGCCAUAAACAAACAAACAAAACACCACUCAUAGCCACAAAUAAUGCUCAGAACAGCACCUAACUUCAUCAACAGUACAUAUAGGGUCCCAGCCAUAGUACUAGCCACCAAACAUCUUUUUAGCUUUGCCUAAUUUCUUUAGAGAGACUAGUCAUAACUCACCUACUCUCUUCCAGCAGCUGCUUGUUUGAACGGAGACCUUGGACCAGUCCAUCACCGACUGCUGCGGGGUGACGCAGCUCGAGGAAGAACAGUUAUGAUCAUUUUCUCGUGGAAAUGUAAUCAGACCUAGAGCCUCUUUGCUAAAGAAAUUAGACAAAGCUAAAAAGAUGUAUGUACUGUUGAUGAAGUUAAGUACUGUUCUGAUCAUUAUUUGUGGCUAUAGAGUGGAGUUUUGGUUGAGCGCGUGGCUCCUUAGACCGCUGUGUACUGCUAUCGUCAUUACUAAAGUUGGUUUAACUAGAGAAGCAAGUAUGCGGCAACAUUCAUCUCUCAGUGGGGUGUCUAACUCUGUGUCACCAUGUGUUUGACCCUAACUUAAUUUUACGCCGGAAUAUCCCUUUAAGCCUAGUGCUUAUUAAAACCAGAAAAAAAGCCUGAUUUAAUACAUUAAUAUAAUUAUGAUGGAGCUAACAUAGUAUCCAAAAGAUUGGUUGAUAUAACUGUAUGUAUAUUAGUUGAAGACAGAAAGUCAAGUACUGAGGGCACAGGGUGCUGGUUCACACUGUGUGUAGUUCACCCACUUAUGUCACAUUGUGGAACAUUUCUUAAUUAUUUUAAUCCUCUGCUAUGUCUCCAGAAUCUGACAGUAAUUGACCUUCUGUGCUCUAAUUUACUGCAAGAAAUUUAACCCAGAUCCCAACUUUAUGGAGUGAAAUUAUUUAGAGAACAGCCACAGUGCUGAUAAUAUGUUCUAAGCACCAGUAAAAAAUGUCUUUGCUGGAAGCAGUAGUUUUAUUUUACCCUUAUAGAUUGUGUAUCUGGUGGACAGACUGCGGCCUUUUAUUACAGAUGGCACAGAGGACUAUUGUUUGUGCAUUUGAUUGCAGUCAGGUAAUAGGGACUAAAUGUAACUGAGUGUCAGUGUAACUUUGCAGCUCACUAAGGAGAGGAGAAAAUAGAUACACAUAUACAGAUAAAGGUUGUUGCACACAUCUUUAAAUGUUUUUGAAGGCAGCUUUAAGCGUUACAUACCCUUGAUUAUGUAUGCAUCAUUAAUUAUUGAAUAUAUGCUCCCCUGGAACAGUACAUCUCUCUUUUCUGCUUUCUGUUGUCUUUGUUGCUGAAUACCAAGGCUUGACAUUUGCCUUUUUAUUAUCUAAACUCCUUACUUGAGGAAAGAGAACAAGACCUGCAGUGAUUAUUUCAGGGUAGCAGUUUGCUGAAUUUGUUAUUUACAGUGACACAAGCGC
This 7482-nucleotide long non-coding RNA is filed under the name Xyrichtys novacula (pearly razorfish). Lineage: Eukaryota; Metazoa; Chordata; Actinopteri; Labriformes; Labridae. The record is from RNAcentral.